Molecule: non-coding RNA, 365 nt
Organism: Pelobates cultripes (western spadefoot toad)
Lineage: Eukaryota; Metazoa; Chordata; Amphibia; Anura; Pelobatidae
Source: the annotation of a GenBank genome assembly
AGCUUCUUACAGGAUAAAAGUAAGUGAGCAUGUGCGGUUUAGAGACACCGCUACUCACAAAAGCCGGUUUGGUAAUAACCAAGUGCUGUAGGAUGUCCACGACCGAUGUAGAGACCCAAAAGCUCUUUGUGCAACAGGUGACUGCAGAUAUAUAGACCCAGCAGGUCUGUGUUGGUGUGUUGGUGUGUCGGUCAUCAGACGGCACAGUUUGUAGAUAUAAUCUCCAAUAGAGUAAUUUGUGGGAUUCAAGCUCCGCCCACAGCGUGACAUCAGUGCAUCUACACGUUUCGCCCUCAGGCUUCGUCAGGACUUUAGUUAAGUAUCGGCCAUUGGUAAAUUGGGCAUAAUUUAAGGGCAAGAUAAAU